This 256-nucleotide ribosomal RNA is filed under the name uncultured bacterium. RNAcentral describes it as "partial 16S ribosomal RNA". It matches the Rfam family "Bacterial small subunit ribosomal RNA", at positions 524 to 775 of the family's 1533-position model. The record is from RNAcentral.
UACGAAGGGGGCAAGCGUUGUUCGGAAUUACUGGGCGUAAAGGGCGCGCAGGCGGCCGAUCAAGUCAGAUGUGAAAGCCCCGGGCUCAACCUGGGAAUAGCAUUUGGGACUGUUUGGCUAGAGAUCGGGAGAGGAGAGUGGAAUUCCCAGUGGUAGGGGUAGAAAUUCGUAGAUAUUGGGAAGAACACCGGUGGCGAAGGGCGGUCUGCUGGGCGAGUAGCUGACACUGAGGCGCGACAGCGUGGGGAGCAACAGG